This 332-nucleotide unclassified non-coding RNA is filed under the name soil metagenome. RNAcentral's name for it is "partial contains 5.8S ribosomal RNA, internal transcribed spacer 2, and large subunit ribosomal RNA". The stretch from base 1 to 120 matches the Rfam family "5.8S ribosomal RNA", at positions 35 to 154 of the family's 154-position model. The record is from RNAcentral.
GAUGAAGAACGCAGCGAAAUGCGAUAAGUAAUGUGAAUUGCAGAAUUCAGUGAAUCAUCGAAUCUUUGAACGCACAUUGCGCCCGCCAGUAUUCUGGCGGGCAUGCCUGUUCGAGCGUCAUUUCAACCAUCAAGCCCCCGGCUUGUGUUGGGGACCUGCGGCUGCCGCAGGCCCUGAAAACCAGUGGCGGGCUCGCUAGUCACUCCGAGCGUAGUAAUACAUCUCGCUCAGGGCGUGCUGCGGGUUCCGGCCGUUAAAAGCCUUAUUUACCCAAGGUUGACCUCGGAUCAGGUAGGAAGACCCGCUGAACUUAAGCAUAUCUAAGCGGAGGA